AUUGAACGCUGGCGGCAUGCCUUACACAUGCAAGUCGAACGGCAGCACGGGGGCAACCCUGGUGGCGAGUGGCGAACGGGUGAGUAAUACAUCGGAACGUGUCCUGGAGUGGGGGAUAGCCCGGCGAAAGCCGGAUUAAUACCGCAUACGAUCUAGGGAUGAAAGCGGGGGACCGAAAGGCCUCGCGCUCAAGGGGCGGCCGAUGGCAGAUUAGCUAGUUGGUGGGGUAAAGGCCUACCAAGGCGACGAUCUGUAGCUGGUCUGAGAGGACGACCAGCCACACUGGGACUGAGACACGGCCCAGACUCCUACGGGAGGCAGCAGUGGGGAAUUUUGGACAAUGGGGGCAACCCUGAUCCAGCAAUGCCGCGUGUGUGAAGAAGGCCUUCGGGUUGUAAAGCACUUUUGUCCGGAAAGAAAACCUCCGUCCUAAUACGGUGGGGGGAUGACGGUACCGGAAGAAUAAGCACCGGCUAACUACGUGC
Molecule: ribosomal RNA, 485 nt
Filed under: Paraburkholderia terrae
Lineage: Bacteria; Pseudomonadati; Pseudomonadota; Betaproteobacteria; Burkholderiales; Burkholderiaceae
Description: bacterial SSU rRNA
Rfam family: Bacterial small subunit ribosomal RNA
Source: RNAcentral